This 253-nucleotide ribosomal RNA is filed under the name uncultured bacterium. RNAcentral's name for it is "partial 16S ribosomal RNA". It matches the Rfam family "Bacterial small subunit ribosomal RNA", at positions 524 to 776 of the family's 1533-position model. The record is from RNAcentral.
UACGUAGGGGGCAAGCGUUGUCCGGAUUUAUUGGGCGUAAAGAGCUCGUAGGCGGUUCCGUAAGUCGGGUGUGAAAAAUCUGGGCUCAACCCAGUGGAGCACCCGAUACUGCGGUGACUCGAGUCCGGUAGGGGAGUGUGGAAUUCCUGGUGUAGCGGUGAAAUGCGCAGAUAUCAGGAGGAACACCGACGGCGAAGGCAGCACUCUGGGCCGGUACUGACGCUGAGGAGCGAAAGCAUGGGGAGCAAACAGG